ACCAGAGGCAUCAUGGGUAGGCGGCCAUCUUUAUUGAGGGCACAGCACCCAGGGGUGCAGGGACAGAGGUGUCCAAAGGGGAUCCAGGUGUCCAUUCUGGGGGGAUCCAGGUGUCCAUGUUGGGGGGAUCCAGGUGUCCAUUCUGGGGGGAUCCAGGUGUCUAUGUUGAGGGGGAUCCAGGUGUGCAGGUCAGGGAGCUCCAGGUGUGCAGGUGGAAGAGAUCAAGGUGUGCAGGUCAGGACAAUCCAGGUGUCCAUCAGAGGGUCUCCAGGGGGGUCAGGUGUCCAUGGCGGGGUCUUGAGGAGGGUCAGGUGUCCAUGGGGUGACCCCAGGUGGGUCAGGUGUCCAUCAGGUGACCCCAGGAGUUCAGGUGUCCAUCAGGUGACCCCAGGAAGGUCAGGUGUCCAUAGGGGGUCUCCAGGAGGGUCAGAUGUCCAUGGGGUGACCCUGGGAGGCUCAGGUGCCCCCAAGAUGCUCAGGUGCCCAGGUGAGGGUCUCCAGGGGUGUCAGGAGCCCAGGUGAGUGUCGCCAGGAUGUUCAGGUGCCCCCAGGAUGUUGA
This is a long non-coding RNA of Myiozetetes cayanensis, 559 nucleotides long. RefSeq lists it as uncharacterized. NCBI's taxonomy places the organism in Eukaryota, Metazoa, Chordata, Aves, Passeriformes, Tyrannidae. The transcript has 4 exons. The record is from RefSeq and is a predicted model, not a curated record.